AUGUAAUGGACAUCAAACAUGUACAUUUGCUGUGAAUAAUGGAGUUUUCACUGAUCCCUGCGGAGGAACUUACAAAUAUUUGGAUGUGUCGUAUUCCUGUGGACCAGAUGUCCAGGGGCCGUUUGACUGUGGAAGCCAAGGCUGUAAAAUAUUUUCACUCUGUCAAUUUGAAAAGAAAGAGUUCGGCUGUU
Non-coding RNA from Paramisgurnus dabryanus, 191 nucleotides. The record is from RefSeq and is a predicted model, not a curated record. Lineage: Eukaryota; Metazoa; Chordata; Actinopteri; Cypriniformes; Cobitidae.